RNAcentral lists this ribosomal RNA (534 nucleotides) under Gephyromantis ambohitra. Its description in RNAcentral is "partial 16S ribosomal RNA". It matches the Rfam family "Bacterial large subunit ribosomal RNA", at positions 1914 to 2615 of the family's 2925-position model. The record is from RNAcentral. Lineage: Eukaryota; Metazoa; Chordata; Amphibia; Anura; Mantellidae.
GUGACCCAGUUUAACGGCCGCGGUACCCUAACCGCGCAAAGGUAGCAUAAUCACUUGUUCUUUAAAUGAGGACUUGUAUCAACGGCAUCACGAGGGUUUUACUGUCUCCUUUUUCUAAUCAGUGAAACUAACCUCCCCGUGAAGAAGCGGGGAUAUACAUAUAAGACGAGAAGACCCCAUGGAGCUUUAAACCUAGCUACAAUCCAAUUUCUUAAGCCUGCUCAUUAAACAGGACCGUGUAUGCUCAGUUUUAGGUUGGGGUGACCACGGAGUACAACAAAACCUCCUUGAUAAAAGAAACUGCUUUCUUAUCCAAGAUCCACACCUCUAAGAAUUAAUACAUUAAUAUAAAAUGAUCCGAUAAUCGAUCAACGGACCAAGUUACCCUGGGGAUAACAGCGCAAUCCAUUUCAAGAGCUCCUAUCGACAAAUGGGUUUACGACCUCGAUGUUGGAUCAGGAUAUCCUAGUGGUGCAGCAGCUACUAAGGGUUCGUUUGUUCAACGAUUAAAAUCCUACGUGAUCUGAGUUCAGA